This 208-nucleotide long non-coding RNA is filed under the name Solanum tuberosum (potato). RNAcentral's name for it is "long non-coding RNA (STUB_LNC003417)". Lineage: Eukaryota; Viridiplantae; Streptophyta; Magnoliopsida; Solanales; Solanaceae. The record is from RNAcentral.
CUAUAAAUAACAAAACUUCAUGGGUGACGGAAAAAAGUUGUUAGGAUAAUAGGCUACUCCUCAAUUGUACAAAAUUUGUCUCAACACCCUCAAAAGCUUUUAUAUUUCAUUAUCUCCAUACAAUUCACAUAAGUGCAAGUGGAGCAACAUUCCACACCCUGCGUCUUCUCCCCAUCUAUCAGUCUUCCCAUUGAAAUUUCGAAGGGCC